Bufo bufo (common toad) is the source of this 1392-nucleotide long non-coding RNA. RefSeq lists it as uncharacterized. The record is from RefSeq and is a predicted model, not a curated record. The transcript is spliced from 4 exons. NCBI's taxonomy places the organism in Eukaryota, Metazoa, Chordata, Amphibia, Anura, Bufonidae.
ACUUUACACCAGUCCCAGAUUUAUUUGAUGGCCAGAUUUUUUUAAUAUUAUUUUUCUCCAGUAGCAGCGACUUACAGAUGUGUAGCAGUUAUUACCUUGAUCAGCGCAGGGCGCUACAUCAUUAAUGUCACGCAGCUAUGAUACAUUAAUAGCGUAGCUGCAUCAUGGCACGCUGCUUGAAUAGCAUGCCAGGUUAAGGAGUGCUGCAUCUGUAUGUUUUGCAUGAGCACUUUAUUUUUAUUUUUAUAGAUCUGAACGAUAAUAGACACUACAAUGCAAUACUACAUUGGGAUGUGCCCAACUCUGCAUGAUUAAAAAUGGAAGCCUUGAAACUGUGCCGGAUCUGUCACAUGACGCCAAUAGGGCCCCAUUGAUUUAUAAUGGAGUAAAGUUCCAUCAUGUUUACAUUGUUUAGCUGGGGGAAAAAAGCGCUGCUUGCAGUACACUAGCACAGCAAUAUGAAAGCAAUUGCUGUAUCCUAUAGAAACUAGCGGCUUACUAUGGGCUACUUCACUUUUUUUCCCCAGCAGGCCCAUUUAUUAAGUGCACCCCCAAUUCUGAAGCUGAAUCUUUAUUCUGUAGGUUGAAGAGGACCGGUCACCUCGCCUGACACACUUGUGUUCCCCAUAAAAUAACAAAUCUGGAACAUCUUUUCUUCUAACUCUGCAUUGUGCCAUUCAUCUGUUAUUCCACCUAGAAAUGUAUAAAUGAAUUCAUAUUUCCCCUUAUCGGAGGAGUGUGUCAUCACGAUUGGACAAUGGCAGACUGUGCAGGGACACAUCCCUCAUUGGUAACACCCAAUUUAUUCAUCUAUUUCUAGGAGGAAUAACAAAGGAAUGGCACAAAGCAGAGCUCUAAGAAAAUAAACUCCAGAAUUAUUUCAUGGGGUAUACAGUUGACAAAAACCGACAUGUCGGGGGAGCUGAAGGGUCCUCUUUGAUUGGAUUUUAAGCAGUCUCAAGGAUCACAUUGGAGCAAGCAAUGUAGAUAUGACAUUCUCAUAUUUGGGUUCAGAAUAAAUCUCUGGAAACUGCAGGAGUUUGGCUGGCGUUGUGUCCAUCUCUAUAGUGUACUGUAUAUCCAUUGGUGUUAUCCAUUCUCCACUCUGUCCCUUCGCCUCCGUUAAAAAAGGAAGCUAGGGGAGGCAACGGAUAAAGUAUGUAGAGAUAUCUACAUAUGAUUCUAUGUACUCGGAGCAGGAGGAUUUGGAGUAAUGGAAGCACCAGGGAUUCUAGUUUUUACAACAUAUUUGUAAGGCUAAGUUCACACCACGUUUUCUCUUUCUGUUGAAAUUUGUAAUUUUUUUUUAUCAUGAACAAAAAAUGGUUGCAGACAGACGCUGUAAGGGGAUGUCUGACCUGUAGCAUCCUAGACAUUCAUUGUCUAAAAAAA